Molecule: ribosomal RNA, 402 nt
Filed under: uncultured crenarchaeote
Lineage: Archaea; Thermoproteati; Thermoproteota
Description: bacterial SSU rRNA
Rfam family: Archaeal small subunit ribosomal RNA
Source: RNAcentral
GCGGUAAAACCAGCACCUCAAGUGGUCAGGAGGAUUAUUGGGCCUAAAGCAUCCGUAGCCGGCCGUGUAAGUUUUCGGUUAAAUCUAUACGCUCAACGUAUAGGCUGCCGGGAAUACUGCAUAGCUAGGGAGUGGGAGAGGUAGACGGUACUCGGUAGGAAGGGGUAAAAUCCUUUGAUCUAUUGAUGACCACCUGUGGCGAAGGCGGUCUACUAGAACACGUCCGACGGUGAGGGAUGAAAGCUGGGGGAGCAAACCGGAUUAGAUACCCGGGUAGUCCCAGCUGUAAACAAUGCAAACUCAGUGAUGCACUGGCUUGUGGCCAGUGCAGUGCCGCAGGGAAGCCGUUAAGUUUGCCGCCUGGGAAGUACGUACGCAAGUAUGAAACUUAAAGGAAUUGGC